Molecule: ribosomal RNA, 748 nt
Filed under: uncultured bacterium
Lineage: Bacteria
Description: bacterial SSU rRNA
Rfam family: Bacterial small subunit ribosomal RNA
Source: RNAcentral
AGAGUUUGAUCAUGGCUCAGGAUGAACGCUGGCGAGAUGCUUUACACAUGCAAGUCGUACGAGAGUUUGAAACUCAAGUGGCGGACGGGUGAGUAACACGUAAGAAUUUACCUCUAGGAGGGGGACAACAGACAGAAAUGACUGCUAAUACCCCAUAUGCUUUUGAGUGAAAUGGAUUUUUCCGCCUAGAGAGAAGCUUGCGGCUGAUUAGCUUGUUGGUAAGGUAAUGGCUUACCAAGGCGACGAUCAGUAUCUGGUUUGAGAGGAUGAUCAGACACACUGGAACUGAGACACGGUCCAGACUCCUACGGGAGGCAGCAGUGGGGAAUUUUCCGCAAUGGGCGAAAGCCUGACGGAGCAAUCUCGCGUGAGGGAUGACUGCCUAUGGGUUGUAAACCUCUUUUUUCAGGGAGGAAUCAAUGACGUGUACCUGAAGAAUAAGCAUCGGCUAACUCCGUGCCAGCAGCCGCGGUAAGACGGAGGAUGCAAGUGUUAUCCGGAAUCACUGGGCGUAAAGCGUCUGUAGGUGGUUUAAUAAGUCAACUGUUAAAUCUUGAAGCUCAACUUCAAAAUCGCAGUCGAAACUAUUAGACUUGAGUAUAGUAGGGGUAAAGGGAAUUUCCAGUGGAGCGGUGAAAUGCGUAGAGAUUGGAAAGAACACCGAUGGCGAAGGCACUUUACUGGGCUAUUACUGACACUCAGAGACGAAAGCUAGGGUAGCAAAUGGGAUUAGAUACCCUAGUAGUCC